AAAAAGUAAACCGUAGGUUCUCGCCAACGUCUGACUAUCCGUCUUAUAUAAAAUUUUUUAUAAUUAGUAUUUUUAUUGUUGUUAGAUGAUAAAACAUGAUUAACAUUUUAUGCGUGACUUAUUUUUUUAAUUUUUUUUAUAAUUUUUUUAAAUAAGACGGACGAUCAAACGUUGGAUGUGAAUAUGAGGGUU
MicroRNA precursor from Oryza rufipogon (brownbeard rice), 192 nucleotides. It matches the Rfam family "MIR812 microRNA precursor family". The record is from Rfam. Lineage: Eukaryota; Viridiplantae; Streptophyta; Magnoliopsida; Poales; Poaceae.